AUUGAACGCUGGCGGCAUGCCUUACACAUGCAAGUCGAACGGUAACAGGUUAAGCUGACGAGUGGCGGACGGGUGAGUAAUAUAUCGGAACGUGCCCAGUCGUGGGGGAUAACGUAGCGAAAGCUACGCUAAUACCGCAUACGAUCUACGGAUGAAAGCGGGGGAUCGCAAGACCUCGCGCGAUUGGAGCGGCCGAUAUCAGAUUAGGUAGUUGGUGGGGUAAAGGCUCACCAAGCCAACGAUCUGUAGCUGGGCUGAGAGGACGACCAGCCACACUGGAACUGAGACACGGUGCAGACUCCUACGGGAGGCAGCAGUGGGGAAUUUUGGACAAUGGGCGAAAGCCUGAUCCAGCCAUUCCGCGUGCAGGAUGAAGGCCCUCGGGUUGUAAACUGCUUUUGUACAGAACGAAAAGGUUUCUACUAAUACUAGGAGCUCAUGACGGUACUGUAAGAAUAAGCACCGGCUAACUACGUGCCAGCCGCCGCGGUAA
This 493-nucleotide ribosomal RNA is filed under the name uncultured bacterium. RNAcentral describes it as "partial 16S ribosomal RNA". It matches the Rfam family "Bacterial small subunit ribosomal RNA", at positions 30 to 523 of the family's 1533-position model. The record is from RNAcentral.